CGUGACCCUGUUCUGCGACAGAGACGCCUCUGAAUGGUACCAGGAACCUUUCCUUUCCACUUUGAAGGAAACAACCUGGCAGCACCAAGUGAAAAAAUUGGGCGUGAUGAUGAAACGUUCCCUGGCAGCCACAGAUUCGAUUGCCACAGCAGCACUAGGUUUGUUUUCCUCCCAUACUCAUUACAUGUAAUAUCUGUCAUUCAGGGUCUGAUCACAUAAUAAGUCUUAAAGGAAAAUGUACUGCAAUUUUCCAUAAAUCAGUGACCUUAGACAUUCUGAUGAGGCUCCUUGGUUUGUAAAAGUAACAAUCUUCAAACAUAUUUGUCAGCAUAUCUACAUUUCUUAAUUAAAUGGUUUUCUUUAUAUUGUUUGGUAAGAUAUUCGAUUUAAUCUGUCAUAUUUCCAUUAACUGUAAGCAUAAAAUUAUUGUCAUUACUAGACUUAAAGACUUUAGUUAUGUGUUUCACUUUUGAACUGAUUUACUAAAAUAAAUUAACAUUUAAUAUGCAAUGCAUAAAAAUAUUUUUAACGUUGAAUGUUCCCUCAUAAUGGAAUCGAUUUUAGUUUAACCAGGUUUUGCAAGAUAUUUUGCAGGACUGCCCACUAGACCUUUUGCUUGCUGCACCAGUAACAGAGACCUGCGUUAAAGCCACCUCUCUGGUUUUGCAGUGCCUGCGUCAAACAGAUUUUAAGGUCAGUAAAAGCAGAUUGCUCGAAAACAGGCUAAGUUUCUGGGUAGAAUAAUUUCAGCAGGAACGACUGGCAUGUCCCCAUGGAACAAGCUUUUGUCUCUCCAACAACACAUGGCUUGGCUGCAGAGCUCUCCAUCCCUGAAUACAUUUUACAGUUCUUUGAGGAUAUUUCUGGAACAAAACUGACUGUUUUGUUUCAGAAAAAGGGGGAGGAAAAGGGCAUCACCCUUGUACACAACAGGCAGCUGGGAUACCUGCUGCCUGAUACAAAAACUGAACACAUAGUCAUGGGACAUUCACUGAGUUUCACCAUGACAGCGUUGAGGCAACAAACACUUUCCAAAGUCCUGAAAGCUCCAAACAUUUCAUUCACACACCAAGACAUAAAUAUGGCAGACUGUUUUUCAGAAGGAGAACCACACGUGUGUGCAGACCUGGUGGCAAAGACAGACAAGGUAACACCAGGACUUCAGCAGCUCCUCUGCUGGGACCAGAGGUGAGACAGUUCUUUACAGAUGGUUGUUGUUUCAGAAACAACACACAAGGGUUAAGAGCCUGGAAGAGGUGGUAAGAUGCCAAAAGGGGGCGCCACCUGAAGAGAAAAACGUGAAACAAAUGGGUGCUGGAGGGGCCCAGAUGGCAGGUUAAUUCUGCCUCCUGGGAAAAUAGGAGAGCUGCUCCAAGAAGCUCACAGGGUUGGAUAUGUUGGGACGAAGCAGAUGAUGCACAAUCUUAAAGAGUGGUGGCACCCCCAAAUGAUCCACAUGGUGAAACAUUUUGUUAAGAAUUGUUCGGUGUGCGGACAGUUCAACCCUAAGAAAACUUUGAACCCACAUCAGGGACAGUUUCCUCCAGUCACAUGUCCAGGGAAAGAAAUUGUGUUGGAUUUUACUGACAUGAUAAACCCGGUGCAAGACAAAAAUAUUUGCUGAUUUGUGUUGAUGCUUUCACAGGAUGGCCUGAAGCCUGGCCAGCAACAGCAGAAGAUAGUGAAAUCAUCAUAAAAUGUCUAAUCAAUCAUUACCUCCCAAGGCAAAGCAGAAUGAAUGAAUCAAAAUUUAAAACAAAAUUGGCUAAGGUUUGUGCACAAACAAAAUUAAAUUGGGUCGAUACAUUACACAGGAACCAACUUGUGGUUAGACUGAUUAACUGCAA
This is a long non-coding RNA of Gambusia affinis (western mosquitofish), 1847 nucleotides long. RefSeq lists it as uncharacterized. The record is from RefSeq and is a predicted model, not a curated record. Lineage: Eukaryota; Metazoa; Chordata; Actinopteri; Cyprinodontiformes; Poeciliidae. The transcript has 2 exons.